UCUCCGUUGGUGAACCAGCGGAGGGAUCAUUACCGAGUUUACAACUCCCAAACCCAAUGUGAACGUUACCAAACUGUUGCCUCGGCGGGAUCUCUGCCCCGGGUGCGUCGCAGCCCCGGACCAAGGCGCCCGCCGGAGGACCAACCAAAACUCUUUUGUAUACCCCCUCGCGGGUUUUUAUAUCUGAGCCAUCUCGGCGCCUCUCGUAGGCGUUUCGAAAAUGAAUCAAAACUUUCAACAACGGAUCUCUUGGUUCUGGCAUCGAUGAAGAACGCAGCGAAAUGCGAUAAGUAAUGUGAAUUGCGGAAUUCAGUGAAUCAUCGAAUCUUUGAACGCACAUUGCGCCCGCCAGUAUUCUGGCGGGCAUGCCUGUCCGAGCGUCAUUUCAACCCUCGAACCCCUCCGGGGGGUCGGCGUUGGGGAUCGGCCCUUUACGGGGCCGGCCCCGAAAUACAGUGGCGGUCUCGCCGCAGCCUCUCCUGCGCAGUAGUUUGCACACUCGCAUCGGGAGCGCGGCGCGUCCAUUGCCGUAAAACACCCAACUUUCUGAAAUGUUGACCUCGGAUCAGGUAGGAAUACCCGCUGAACUUAA
Molecule: ribosomal RNA, 592 nt
Filed under: uncultured Trichoderma
Lineage: Eukaryota; Fungi; Ascomycota; Sordariomycetes; Hypocreales; Hypocreaceae
Description: eukaryotic LSU rRNA
Rfam family: 5.8S ribosomal RNA (bases 230-383)
Source: RNAcentral